UAUCUCCUUCUUUCUCACCCACCCCAACACAUUUUUUAAAAAACACCACCAGGUAUCCGUUAUAGCACUGAUGUGAGUGUAGAUGAAGUAAAAGCUUUGGCUUCUCUGAUGACAUACAAGUGUGCAGUGGUUGAUGUGCCGUUUGGGGGUGCUAAAGCUGGUGUUAAGAUCUAUCCCAAGAACUAUACCGAUAACAAACUGGAAAAGAUCACAAGGAGGUUCACCAUGGAGCUAGCAAAGAAGGGCUUUAUUGGU
RNAcentral lists this long non-coding RNA (255 nucleotides) under Homo sapiens (human). RNAcentral describes it as "non-protein coding lnc-GPRIN2-4:2". The record is from RNAcentral. Lineage: Eukaryota; Metazoa; Chordata; Mammalia; Primates; Hominidae.